UCACGAGUUUGAUCAUGGCUCAGAUUGAACGCUGGCGGCAUGCCUUACACAUGUAAGUCGAACGAUGAAGUCCUUCGGGAUGGAUUAGUGGCGCACGGGUGAGUAAUAUAUAGGUAAUGUGCCUCUUAGUCUGGGAUAGCCACUGGAAACGGUGAUUAAUACUAGAUACUCCUUCUUACUUUAAGGUAAGUCGGGAAAGUUUUUCGCUAAGAGAUCGGCCUAUAUCCUAUCAGUUAGUUGGUGAGGUAAUGGCUCACCAAGGCGAUGACGGGUAGCGGGUUUGAGAGGAUGAUCCGCCACACUGGUACUGAGACACGGACCAGACUCCUACGGGAGGCAGCAGUGAGGAAUAUUGCACAAUGGGGGAAACCCUGAUGCAGCAACGCCGCGUGGAGGAUGACGCAUUUCGGUGUGUAAACUCCUUUUAUGAGUCAAGAAAAUGACGGUAGCUCAUGAAUAAGCACCGGCUAACUCCGUG
This 478-nucleotide ribosomal RNA is filed under the name uncultured bacterium. RNAcentral's name for it is "bacterial SSU rRNA". It matches the Rfam family "Bacterial small subunit ribosomal RNA", at positions 1 to 507 of the family's 1533-position model. The record is from RNAcentral.